CCUACGGGUGGCAGCAGUGAGGAAUAUUGGUCAAUGGGCGCGAGCCUGAACCAGCCAAGUCGCGUGAGGGAAGACGGUCCUAUGGAUUGUAAACCUCUUUUGUCGGGGAGCAAAAGACGCCACGCGUGGCGUUCCGAGAGUACCCGAAGAAAAAGCAUCGGCUAACUCCGUGCCAGCAGCCGCGGUAAUACGGAGGAUGCGAGCGUUAUCUGGAUUUAUUGGGUUUAACGGGUGCGCAGGCGGAAGAUGAAGUCAGCGGUAAAAUUGAGAGGCUCAACCUCUUCGAGCCGUUGAAACUGGUUGUCUUGAGUGAGUGAGAAGUAUGCAGAAUGCGAGGUGUAGCGGUGAAAUGCAUAGAUAUCACGCAGAACUCCGAGUGCGAAGGCAGCAUACCGGCGCUCAACUGACGCUCAUGCACGAAAGUGUGGGUAUCGAACAGGAUUAGAUACCCCAGUAGUC
This 459-nucleotide ribosomal RNA is filed under the name uncultured bacterium. RNAcentral describes it as "partial 16S ribosomal RNA". It matches the Rfam family "Bacterial small subunit ribosomal RNA", at positions 338 to 795 of the family's 1533-position model. The record is from RNAcentral.